RNAcentral lists this ribosomal RNA (689 nucleotides) under Lactuca sativa (garden lettuce). RNAcentral's name for it is "eukaryotic LSU rRNA". The stretch from base 257 to 412 matches the Rfam family "5.8S ribosomal RNA". Lineage: Eukaryota; Viridiplantae; Streptophyta; Magnoliopsida; Asterales; Asteraceae. The record is from RNAcentral.
UUUGUUUCGACUGCAUGCAGACGACCCGUGACAUGUAACCACAACGGGGUGACCGUGAUAAGGGCCUCGGUCCUUAUCCCCUAACCCUUCCCGACGUGAGUUCGUGGUGUCUUUUUUGGGGCAUCAUGGAUUCCGUUGGACCAUAACAAAACCCCGGCACGGUAUGUGCCAAGGAAAACAAAAAUGAGAAGGACACUACCUGUUUCGCCCCGUUUGCGGUGUGCGUACAGGUCGUGGCCUCCUUGGAAUCACAAACGACUCUCGGCAACGGAUAUCUCGGCUCACGCAUCGAUGAAGAACGUAGCAAAAUGCGAUACUUGGUGUGAAUUGCAGAAUCCCGUGAACCAUCGAGUUUUUGAACGCAAGUUGCGCCCGAAGCCAUCCGGCUGAGGGCACGCCUGCCUGGGCGUCACGCAUCGCGUCGCUCCCCACCAUACCUCCCCAACGGGUUGGCAUGGUGUUGGGGGCGGAUAAUGGCCUCCCGUGCUUGUGUUUCGGUUGGCCUAAAUAAGAGUUCCCUUCGGCGGACACACGACUAGUGGUGGUUGAAUAGACCCUCGUCUUUUGUUGCGUGUCGUGAGCUGUAAGGGUAGCCCUCAUCAAAGACCCCAUUGUAUCGUCUUCGGAUGAUGCUUCGACCGCGACCCCAGGUCAGGCGGGACUACCCGCUGAGUUUAAGCAUAUCAAAA